AACAAACGCUGGCGGCGUGCCUAAUACAUGCAAGUCGGACGGGGAAAGCUUUCGGGCGAGUACUAGUGGCGCACGGGUGAGUAACACGUGGGUAAUCUUCCUAGGAGCGUGGGAUAACUAGUCGAAAGAUUAGCUAAUACCACAUAAGACCACAGAAUCUGCGCAUUCAGAGGUCAAAGCUUUUCACUCUGAGAUGAGCCCGCGCAAGAUUAGCUAGUUGGUGAGGUAAUGGCUCACCAAGGCGACGAUCUUUAGCUGGACUGAGAGGAGGAUCAGCCACACUGGAACUGAGACACGGUCCAGACUCCUACGGGAGGCAGCAGGAGGGAAUAUUGCACAAUGGAGGAAACUCUGAUGCAGCGACGCCGCGUGAGUGAUGAAGGACUUCGGUUCGUAAAGCUCUGUCGUAUGGGAAUAAGAAAGUGAAUGUACCAUGCAAGAAAGGAUCGGCUAACUUCGUGCCAGCCGCCGCGGUAA
This 477-nucleotide ribosomal RNA is filed under the name uncultured bacterium. RNAcentral describes it as "partial 16S ribosomal RNA". It matches the Rfam family "Bacterial small subunit ribosomal RNA", at positions 29 to 523 of the family's 1533-position model. The record is from RNAcentral.